GACCAUUCUGUCACAAUGAGACAGAGCACAGUGAACACCCUUGGAAUGCAAAUGAGUUCCCUCUUGAGAAAGCUAGUCUGAUUGACUAAAGACCAUUAUCACGAACCCUGGAUCUGUUUGUGGCAACAGUGGACCCAGCUGCAGGUGGCAUACAGGAUUUCCCAACCUCCAUGGCAGCUGAGGGUGAUGAAAGAGGAGGUCGCUAUUGAAGAAAAUGGAGGAGGAAAUCACCCAGCUGGCAGAACCUGAGCUACCAGAUCGGCCAAUUAAAGAACUCAAUAUACUGCCAGGGAAAUGAUUCAACGCAUAGAUGCCAAUGAGACCUAGUAACUUACCAGCUGCCAGAUGUGUCGAUGUCAUUUAAUUCUUAUGCCACCUCUAUGAGGUUGAAUAUUACCUUUAAGGAAACAACAGCGGGGGCCGGCCCCUUGGCACAGUGGUAAAGUUCGCAUGCUCUGCUUUGGUGGCCUGGGGUUUCGCCGGUUUGGAUCCUGGGCAUGGACACAGCACCGCUCAUCAGGCCACGCUGAGGUGGUGUCCCACAUGCCACAACUAGAAGGACCCACAACCAAAAUAUGCAACUAUGUACUGGGGGGAUUUGGGGAGAAAAAGCAGAAAUAAAAAAAAAUAAGAUUGGC
RNAcentral lists this long non-coding RNA (638 nucleotides) under Equus caballus (horse). Its description in RNAcentral is "lncRNA (ENSECAG00000056873.1)". The record is from RNAcentral. Lineage: Eukaryota; Metazoa; Chordata; Mammalia; Perissodactyla; Equidae.